Molecule: long non-coding RNA, 204 nt
Filed under: Daucus carota (carrot)
Lineage: Eukaryota; Viridiplantae; Streptophyta; Magnoliopsida; Apiales; Apiaceae
Description: long non-coding RNA (DCAR_LNC007604)
Source: RNAcentral
UGACAAAGUAGCUUUGGAAGCUCUGCAGUCUCUUGCUAAGGCUGGUGAAGAGCCUAGCAAAUCACAGUCUAAAUCUCAAGAACAAUCUGCUCAAGAUACUGUUGAGAAAGCUGCUGAUUCUCCAUCUAAUAAUGAUGAAGAUGAUGAAAGUUCAGAUGAUGACAAUGAUGAAAAUGAUAAUGAAGUUCCUCAGUCACAUCUACA